Molecule: transfer RNA, 76 nt
Filed under: Alloprevotella sp.
Lineage: Bacteria; Pseudomonadati; Bacteroidota; Bacteroidia; Bacteroidales; Prevotellaceae
Also listed under: 1 other name
Description: tRNA-Ala
Rfam family: tRNA
About the family: Transfer RNA (tRNA) molecules are approximately 80 nucleotides in length. Their secondary structure includes four short double-helical elements and three loops (D, anti-codon, and T loops).
Source: RNAcentral
GGGGAUAUAGCUCAGUUGGGAGAGCGCUGCCCUUGCAAGGCAGAUGUCGAGAGUUCGAACCUCUCCAUCUCCACCA